UCAAAAACAUGUCUUUUUGAUAAUAAUUUAAAGUCUAAUCUGCCCACUGAUAUAAUUAUUAAAGGGCUGCAGUAUAUUGACUGUACAAAGGUAGCAUAAUCAUUAGUCUUUUAAUUGAAGACUUGUAUGAAAGAUUUGAUGAAAUAUAAACUGUCUCUAAGUUAAGAAUAAAAUUUAAUUUUUUAGUUAAAAAGCUAAAAUUUUAUUAAAAGACGAGAAGACCCUAUAAAGUUUUAUAAUUUAUUUAUUUAAUAUAAAAUAUAUAAUUAAAUAUAAUAAUUAAAUAAAUUAUUUUAUUGGGGUGAUAGAAAAAUUUAAUAAACUUUUUUUUUUUAUAUAAACAUAAAUAAGUGAUAAAAUGAUCCAUUAUUAAUGAUUAAAAGAAAAAAUUACUUUAGGGAUAACAGCGUAAUAUUUUUUUUUAGUACGAAUAAAAAAAAAAGUUUGCGACCUCGAUGUUGGAUUAAGAUAAAAUUUAAAUGCAAAAGUUUAAAAUUUUGAUCUGUUCGAUCAUUAAAAUCUUACAUGAUCUGAGCU
This 537-nucleotide ribosomal RNA is filed under the name Chlosyne palla. RNAcentral describes it as "partial 16S ribosomal RNA". The stretch from base 400 to 537 matches the Rfam family "Archaeal large subunit ribosomal RNA", at positions 2542 to 2680 of the family's 2987-position model. Lineage: Eukaryota; Metazoa; Arthropoda; Insecta; Lepidoptera; Nymphalidae. The record is from RNAcentral.